CAUCUCUCCUUUUGAAUCCUCCUUUUCUUUUGCCAUAACACCUCAUCAAAAUACAUGAAAUCCCUUCGGUUUCUAGGGUGCCGAAAACCUUCCUGAUGGCCUAUGGUCUCAUCCUUAAAACCACCAUCACCAAUAUCAUCAACGUCCUCAAAAUCCACAUAAUCAGCCCACCUUGGCCUUUUAGCCCACAACCAUUGUUUGAUUUCGGUUCAGCCCCAACCUUUCUCACGUCUUGGGUACAUGUUCAAGCCACGUUACCAAGUUUUCUCACCUUC
RNAcentral lists this long non-coding RNA (275 nucleotides) under Populus trichocarpa (black cottonwood). RNAcentral describes it as "long non-coding RNA (PTRI_LNC002212)". Lineage: Eukaryota; Viridiplantae; Streptophyta; Magnoliopsida; Malpighiales; Salicaceae. The record is from RNAcentral.